This 2639-nucleotide ribosomal RNA is filed under the name Klebsiella pneumoniae LCT-KP289. Its description in RNAcentral is "bacterial LSU rRNA". It matches the Rfam family "Bacterial large subunit ribosomal RNA". The record is from RNAcentral. Lineage: Bacteria; Pseudomonadati; Pseudomonadota; Gammaproteobacteria; Enterobacterales; Enterobacteriaceae.
ACUAUCGUUAACUGAAUACAUAGGUUAACGAGGCGAACCGGGGGAACUGAAACAUCUAAGUACCCCGAGGAAAAGAAAUCAACCGAGAUUCCCCCAGUAGCGGCGAGCGAACGGGGAGCAGCCCAGAGUCUGAAUCAGCUUGUGUGUUAGUGGAACGGUCUGGAAAGUCCGACGGUACAGGGUGAUAGUCCCGUACACCAAAAUGCACAGGCUGUGAACUCGAAGAGUAGGGCGGGACACGUGGUAUCCUGUCUGAAUAUGGGGGGACCAUCCUCCAAGGCUAAAUACUCCUGACUGACCGAUAGUGAACCAGUACCGUGAGGGAAAGGCGAAAAGAACCCCGGCGAGGGGAGUGAAAAAGAACCUGAAACCGUGUACGUACAAGCAGUGGGAGCACCUUCGGGUGUGACUGCGUACCUUUUGUAUAAUGGGUCAGCGACUUAUAUUCUGUAGCAAGGUUAACCGUAUAGGGGAGCCGCAGGGAAACCGAGUCUUAACUGGGCGUUAAGUUGCAGGGUAUAGACCCGAAACCCGGUGAUCUAGCCAUGGGCAGGUUGAAGGUUGGGUAACACUAACUGGAGGACCGAACCGACUAAUGUUGAAAAAUUAGCGGAUGACUUGUGGCUGGGGGUGAAAGGCCAAUCAAACCGGGAGAUAGCUGGUUCUCCCCGAAAGCUAUUUAGGUAGCGCCUCGUGAACUCAUCUUCGGGGGUAGAGCACUGUUUCGGCUAGGGGGUCAUCCCGACUUACCAACCCGAUGCAAACUACGAAUACCGAAGAAUGUUAUCACGGGAGACACACGGCGGGUGCUAACGUCCGUCGUGAAGAGGGAAACAACCCAGACCGCCAGCUAAGGUCCCAAAGUCAUGGUUAAGUGGGAAACGAUGUGGGAAGGCACAGACAGCCAGGAUGUUGGCUUAGAAGCAGCCAUCAUUUAAAGAAAGCGUAAUAGCUCACUGGUCGAGUCGGCCUGCGCGGAAGAUGUAACGGGGCUAAACCAUGCACCGAAGCUGCGGCAGCGACACUAUGUGUUGUUGGGUAGGGGAGCGUUCUGUAAGCCUGCGAAGGUGACCUGUGAGGGUUGCUGGAGGUAUCAGAAGUGCGAAUGCUGACAUAAGUAACGAUAAAGCGGGUGAAAAGCCCGCUCGCCGGAAGACCAAGGGUUCCUGUCCAACGUUAAUCGGGGCAGGGUGAGUCGACCCCUAAGGCGAGGCCGAAAGGCGUAGUCGAUGGGAAACAGGUUAAUAUUCCUGUACUUGGUGUUACUGCGAAGGGGGGACGGAGAAGGCUAUGUUAGCCGGGCGACGGUUGUCCCGGUUUAAGCAUGUAGGCUGGUUAUCCAGGCAAAUCCGGAUAAUCAAGGCUGAGGUGUGAUGACAAGGCACUACGGUGCUGAAGUAACAAAUGCCCUGCUUCCAGGAAAAGCCUCUAAGCAUCAGGUAACAUCAAAUCGUACCCCAAACCGACACAGGUGGUCAGGUAGAGAAUACCAAGGCGCUUGAGAGAACUCGGGUGAAGGAACUAGGCAAAAUGGUGCCGUAACUUCGGGAGAAGGCACGCUGGUGUGUAGGUGAAGUCCCUGCGGAUGGAGCUGAGACCAGUCGAAGAUACCAGCUGGCUGCAACUGUUUAUUAAAAACACAGCACUGUGCAAACACGAAAGUGGACGUAUACGGUGUGACGCCUGCCCGGUGCCGGAAGGUUAAUUGAUGGGGUUAUCCGUAAGGAGAAGCUCUUGAUCGAAGCCCCGGUAAACGGCGGCCGUAACUAUAACGGUCCUAAGGUAGCGAAAUUCCUUGUCGGGUAAGUUCCGACCUGCACGAAUGGCGUAAUGAUGGCCAGGCUGUCUCCACCCGAGACUCAGUGAAAUUGAACUCGCUGUGAAGAUGCAGUGUACCCGCGGCAAGACGGAAAGACCCCGUGAACCUUUACUAUAGCUUGACACUGAACAUUGAGCCUUGAUGUGUAGGAUAGGUGGGAGGCUUUGAAGCGUGGACGCCAGUCUGCGUGGAGCCAACCUUGAAAUACCACCCUUUAAUGUUUGAUGUUCUAACGUUGGCCCCUGACCGGGGUUGCGGACAGUGUCUGGUGGGUAGUUUGACUGGGGCGGUCUCCUCCCAAAGCGUAACGGAGGAGCACGAAGGUUAGCUAAUCCUGGUCGGACAUCAGGAGGUUAGUGCAAUGGCAUAAGCUAGCUUGACUGCGAGCGUGACGGCGCGAGCAGGUGCGAAAGCAGGUCAUAGUGAUCCGGUGGUUCUGAAUGGAAGGGCCAUCGCUCAACGGAUAAAAGGUACUCCGGGGAUAACAGGCUGAUACCGCCCAAGAGUUCAUAUCGACGGCGGUGUUUGGCACCUCGAUGUCGGCUCAUCACAUCCUGGGGCUGAAGUAGGUCCCAAGGGUAUGGCUGUUCGCCAUUUAAAGUGGUACGCGAGCUGGGUUUAGAACGUCGUGAGACAGUUCGGUCCCUAUCUGCCGUGGGCGCUGGAGAAUUGAGGGGGGCUGCUCCUAGUACGAGAGGACCGGAGUGGACGCAUCACUGGUGUUCGGGUUGUCAUGCCAAUGGCACUGCCCGGUAGCUAAAUGCGGAAGAGAUAAGUGCUGAAAGCAUCUAAGCACGAAACUUGCCCCGAGAUGAGUUCU